ACACUGCUGAGGAGUCCCAAAAUAGGACGAAACGGCCGUCCAGUAC
Schistosoma margrebowiei is the source of this 46-nucleotide non-coding RNA. The record is from Rfam. NCBI's taxonomy places the organism in Eukaryota, Metazoa, Platyhelminthes, Trematoda, Strigeidida, Schistosomatidae.